UAAUGCUUGGGAAUCUGGCUUAUGGAGGGGGAUAACUACGGGAAACUGUAGCUAAUACCGCGUAGUAUCGAGAGAUGAAAGUGCGGGACCGCAAGGCCGCAUGCCAUGAGAUGAGCCCAAGUGGGAUUAGGUAGUUGGCGGGGUAAAGGCCUACCAAGCCUGCGAUCUCUAGCUGGUCUGAGAGGAUGGCCAGCCACACUGGAACUGAGACACGGUCCAG
RNAcentral lists this ribosomal RNA (220 nucleotides) under uncultured bacterium. Its description in RNAcentral is "partial 16S ribosomal RNA". It matches the Rfam family "Bacterial small subunit ribosomal RNA", at positions 111 to 334 of the family's 1533-position model. The record is from RNAcentral.